Molecule: transfer RNA, 72 nt
Filed under: Vicugna pacos (alpaca)
Lineage: Eukaryota; Metazoa; Chordata; Mammalia; Artiodactyla; Camelidae
Description: tRNA-Ala (AGC) (tRNA-Ala-AGC-384-1)
Rfam family: tRNA
About the family: Transfer RNA (tRNA) molecules are approximately 80 nucleotides in length.
Source: Rfam by way of RNAcentral
GGGGCUAUAGCUCAGUGGUAGAGCACAUGCUUAGCAUGCAUGAGGUCCUGGGUUCAAUACCCAGUACCUCCA